GUGAACGCUGGCGGUAGGCCUAACACAUGCACGUCGAACGGCAGCACAGUAAGAGCUUGCUCUUACGGGUGGCGAGUGGCGGACGGGUGAGGAAUACAUCGGAAUCUACUUUUUCGUGGGGGAUAACGUAGGGAAACUUACGCUAAUACCGCAUACGACCUACGGGUGAAAGCAGGGGAUCUUCGGACCUUGCGCGAUUGAAUGAGCCGAUGUCGGAUUAGCUAGUUGGCGGGGUAAAGGCCCACCAAGGCGACGAUCCGUAGCUGGUCUGAGGGGAUGAUCAGCCACACUGGAACUGAGACACGGUCCAGACUCCUACGGGAGGCAGCAGUGGGGAAUAUUGGACAAUGGGCGCAAGCCUGAUCCAGCCAUACCGCGUGGGUGAAGAAGGCCUUCGGGUUGUAAAGCCCUUUUGUUGGGAAAGAAAAGCAGCAGGUUAAUACCCCGCUGUUCUGACGGUACCCAAAGAAUAAGCACCGGCUAACUUCGUG
Molecule: ribosomal RNA, 491 nt
Filed under: uncultured bacterium
Lineage: Bacteria
Description: partial 16S ribosomal RNA
Rfam family: Bacterial small subunit ribosomal RNA
Source: RNAcentral